UACGGGGGGUGCAAACGUUGCUCGGAUUUACUGGGCGUAAAGGGCGCGUAGGCGGUCAGCACAAGUCAGUUGUGAAAUCUCCGGGCUUAACUCGGAAAGGUCAACUGAUACUGUGCGACUAGAGUGCGGAAGGGGCAACUGGAAUUCUCGGUGUAGCGGUGAAAUGCGUAGAUAUCGAGAGGAACACCUGCGGCGAAGGCGGGUUGCUGGGCCGACACUGACGCUGAUGCGCGAAAGCCAGGGGAGCGAACGGG
Molecule: ribosomal RNA, 254 nt
Filed under: uncultured bacterium
Lineage: Bacteria
Description: partial 16S ribosomal RNA
Rfam family: Bacterial small subunit ribosomal RNA
Source: RNAcentral